Molecule: ribosomal RNA, 468 nt
Filed under: uncultured bacterium
Lineage: Bacteria
Description: partial 16S ribosomal RNA
Rfam family: Bacterial small subunit ribosomal RNA
Source: RNAcentral
GACGAACGCUGGCGGCGUGCUUAACACAUGCAAGUCGAACGGAAAGGCCCUGCUUUUGUGGGGUGCUCGAGUGGCGAACGGGUGAGUAACACGUGAGUAACCUGCCCUUGACUUUGGGAUAACUUCAGGAAACUGGGGCCAAUACCGGAUAGGAGCUCCUGCUGCAUGGUGGGGGUUGGAAAGUUUCGGUGGUUGGGGAUGGACUCGCGGCUUAUCAGCUUGUUGGUGGGGUAGUGGCUUACCAAGGCUUUGACGGGUAGCCGGCCUGAGAGGGUGACCGGCCACAUUGGGACUGAGAUACGGCCCAGACUCCUACGGUAGGCAGCAGUGGGGAAUAUUGCACAAUGGGCGGAAGCCUGAUGCAGCGACGCCGCGUGCGGGAUGACGGCCUUCGGGUUGUAAACCGCUUUCGCCUGUGACGAAGCGUGAGUGACGGUAAUGGGUAAAGAAGCACCGGCUAACUACGUG